This 253-nucleotide unclassified non-coding RNA is filed under the name uncultured Tepidisphaerales bacterium. RNAcentral's name for it is "contains 16S-23S intergenic spacer region". It matches the Rfam family "Bacterial small subunit ribosomal RNA", at positions 524 to 776 of the family's 1533-position model. Lineage: Bacteria; Pseudomonadati; Planctomycetota; Phycisphaerae; Tepidisphaerales. The record is from RNAcentral.
GACAGAGGUGCCAAGCGUUAGGCGGAAUCACUGGGCUUAAAGCGUGUGUAGGCGGGUGCCUAAGUACCUUGUGAAAUCCCCCGGCUCAACCGGGGAACUGCUGGGUAUACUGGGUGCCUUGGGUUAUCUAGGGGCUGCCGGAACAAAUGGUGGAGCGGUGAAAUGCGUAGAUAUCAUUUGGAACGCCAACGGCGAAAGCAGGCAGCUGGGGAUGUACCGACGCUGAGACGCGAAAGCUAGGGUAGCGAACGGG